GGGGCUGCAAUGGUUUCGACGGGGCAUGAGGAGGGUGACUGAAGCCUGCUCGGUGAGAGCAAACCCGUAACUGCGAACAACAUCGUUCGUUUCUCCCGUCAAGCAGCCCCUGUUGCUGCCUGACCCUUAGGGGAGAUGGGGUGAAGUCAGCCUUAUCACCCAAAUGACUCAUGGGGGCUGGAAGGCCCCCUCAACC
This 196-nucleotide transfer-messenger RNA is filed under the name Synechococcus sp. WH 7803. RNAcentral's name for it is "transfer-messenger RNA Synec_sp_WH780". It matches the Rfam family "Cyanobacteria transfer-messenger RNA", at positions 99 to 288 of the family's 288-position model. From Rfam's summary of the family: Bacterial tmRNA, also known as 10Sa RNA or SsrA, is named for its dual tRNA and mRNA-like properties. Its role is to liberate the mRNA from a stalled ribosome. To accomplish this part of the tmRNA is used as a reading frame that ends in a translation stop signal. The record is from RNAcentral. Lineage: Bacteria; Bacillati; Cyanobacteriota; Cyanophyceae; Synechococcales; Synechococcaceae.